This 1067-nucleotide ribosomal RNA is filed under the name uncultured bacterium. RNAcentral's name for it is "bacterial SSU rRNA". It matches the Rfam family "Bacterial small subunit ribosomal RNA", at positions 53 to 1159 of the family's 1533-position model. The record is from RNAcentral.
ACAUGCAAGUCGAACGGUUCUCAUCCUUCGGGGUGAGGAGAGUGGCGGACGGCUGAGUAACACGUGGGUGACCUGCCCUCGAGCGGGGGAUAACUGCCCGAAAGGGUGGCUAAUACCGCAGACAUCGGUGAUUCGGUUCACCGCUUGAACCUUUGGGGUUCGAGGAGGGGCCCGCGGUCGAUUAGCUCGCUGGUGGGGUAACGGCCUACCAGGGCAUCGAUCGAUAGCUGGUCUGAGAGGAUGAUCAGCCAGACUGGGACUGCGAACGGCCCAGACUCCUACGGGAGGCAGCAGUUAGGAAUUUUGGGCAAUGGGCGAAAGCCUGACCCAGCAACGCCGCGUGGGUGAUGAAGGCCCUCGGGUCGUAAAGCCCUUUUCCCAGGGAAGAUAAUGACGGUACCUGGGGAAUCAGCCCCGGCUAACUACGUGCCAGCAGCCGCGGUAAUACGUAGGGGGCAAGCGUUGUCCGGAUUUAUUGGGCGUAAAGCGCUCGCAGGUGGUUCGUUGCGUCAUGCGUGAAAGACCCCGGCUCAACUGGGGGGCGUCGUGUGAUACGGGCGAACUGGAGGCCAGUAGGGGGAUGCGGAAUUCCGGGUGUAGUGGUGGAAUGCGUAGAGAUCCGGAGGAACACCAGCGGCGAAGGCGGCAUCCUGGACUGGUCCUGACACUCAGGAGCGAAAGCGUGGGGAGCGAUCCGGAUUAGAUACCCGGGUAGUCCACGCUGUAAACGAUGAGCACUAGGUGUCGGGGGUAUCGACCCCCUCGGUGCCGCAGCUAACGCGAUAAGUGCUCCGCCUGGGGACUACGGCCGCAAGGCUAAAACUCAAAGGAAUUGACGGGGGCCCGCACAAGCAGCGGAGCGUGUGGUUUAAUUCGACGCAACGCGAAGAACCUUACCUGGGCUUGACAUGCACGUGGUACGAGUGGGAAACCACGAGGACCCGCAAGGGAGCGUGCACAGAUGCUGCAUGGCUGUCGUCAGCUCGUGCCGUGAGGUGUUGGGUUAAGUCCCGCAACGAGCGCAACCCUCGCUGCCAGUUACCAUGUCUGGCGGGACCGCCGGGUCC